GGCUCAGGACGAACGCUGGCGGCGUGCCUAAUACAUGCAAGUCGAGCGGAUUUAUCCUUCGGGAUAAGUUAGCGGCGGACGGGUGAGUAACACGUAGGUAACCUGCCUAUAAGACUGGGAUAACUAUCGGAAACGAUAGCUAAGACCGGAUAACUGGUUUUCUCGCAUGAGAGAACUAUGAAACACGGAGCAAUCUGUGGCUUAUAGAUGGGCCUGCGGCGCAUUAGCUAGUUGGUAGGGUAACGGCCUACCAAGGCGACGAUGCGUAGCCGACCUGAGAGGGUGAACGGCCACACUGGGACUGAGACACGGCCCAGACUCCUACGGGAGGCAGCAGUAGGGAAUCUUCCGCAAUGGACGCAAGUCUGACGGAGCAACGCCGCGUGAGUGAUGAAGGUUUUCGGAUCGUAAAGCUCUGUUACCCUAGACGAACAGCAAGAGGAGUAACUGCCUUUUGUGUGACGGUAUAGGAGAAGAAAGCCCCGGCUAACUACGUGCCAGCAGCCGCGGUAAUACGUAGGGGGCAAGCGUUGUCCGGAAUUAUUGGGCGUAAAGCGCGCGCAGGCGGUCAAUUAAGUUGGGUGUUUAAGCCCGGGGCUU
RNAcentral lists this ribosomal RNA (600 nucleotides) under bacterium enrichment culture clone F61x_D30_T3_F04. Its description in RNAcentral is "bacterial SSU rRNA". It matches the Rfam family "Bacterial small subunit ribosomal RNA", at positions 21 to 610 of the family's 1533-position model. The record is from RNAcentral.